This 1552-nucleotide ribosomal RNA is filed under the name Staphylococcus aureus. Its description in RNAcentral is "16S ribosomal RNA". It matches the Rfam family "Bacterial small subunit ribosomal RNA". The record is from RNAcentral. Lineage: Bacteria; Bacillati; Bacillota; Bacilli; Caryophanales; Staphylococcaceae.
UUUAUGGAGAGUUUGAUCCUGGCUCAGGAUGAACGCUGGCGGCGUGCCUAAUACAUGCAAGUCGAGCGAACGGACGAGAAGCUUGCUUCUCUGAUGUUAGCGGCGGACGGGUGAGUAACACGUGGAUAACCUACCUAUAAGACUGGGAUAACUUCGGGAAACCGGAGCUAAUACCGGAUAAUAUUUUGAACCGCAUGGUUCAAAAGUGAAAGACGGUCUUGCUGUCACUUAUAGAUGGAUCCGCGCUGCAUUAGCUAGUUGGUAAGGUAACGGCUUACCAAGGCAACGAUGCAUAGCCGACCUGAGAGGGUGAUCGGCCACACUGGAACUGAGACACGGUCCAGACUCCUACGGGAGGCAGCAGUAGGGAAUCUUCCGCAAUGGGCGAAAGCCUGACGGAGCAACGCCGCGUGAGUGAUGAAGGUCUUCGGAUCGUAAAACUCUGUUAUUAGGGAAGAAUAUAUGUGUAAGUAACUGUGCACAUCUUGACGGUACCUAAUCAGAAAGCCACGGCUAACUACGUGCCAGCAGCCGCGGUAAUACGUAGGUGGCAAGCGUUAUCCGGAAUUAUUGGGCGUAAAGCGCGCGUAGGCGGUUUUUUAAGUCUGAUGUGAAAGCCCACGGCUCAACCGUGGAGGGUCAUUGGAAACUGGAAAACUUGAGUGCAGAAGAGGAAAGUGGAAUUCCAUGUGUAGCGGUGAAAUGCGCAGAGAUAUGGAGGAACACCAGUGGCGAAGGCGACUUUCUGGUCUGUAACUGACGCUGAUGUGCGAAAGCGUGGGGAUCAAACAGGAUUAGAUACCCUGGUAGUCCACGCCGUAAACGAUGAGUGCUAAGUGUUAGGGGGUUUCCGCCCCUUAGUGCUGCAGCUAACGCAUUAAGCACUCCGCCUGGGGAGUACGACCGCAAGGUUGAAACUCAAAGGAAUUGACGGGGACCCGCACAAGCGGUGGAGCAUGUGGUUUAAUUCGAAGCAACGCGAAGAACCUUACCAAAUCUUGACAUCCUUUGACAACUCUAGAGAUAGAGCCUUCCCCUUCGGGGGACAAAGUGACAGGUGGUGCAUGGUUGUCGUCAGCUCGUGUCGUGAGAUGUUGGGUUAAGUCCCGCAACGAGCGCAACCCUUAAGCUUAGUUGCCAUCAUUAAGUUGGGCACUCUAAGUUGACUGCCGGUGACAAACCGGAGGAAGGUGGGGAUGACGUCAAAUCAUCAUGCCCCUUAUGAUUUGGGCUACACACGUGCUACAAUGGACAAUACAAAGGGCAGCGAAACCGCGAGGUCAAGCAAAUCCCAUAAAGUUGUUCUCAGUUCGGAUUGUAGUCUGCAACUCGACUACAUGAAGCUGGAAUCGCUAGUAAUCGUAGAUCAGCAUGCUACGGUGAAUACGUUCCCGGGUCUUGUACACACCGCCCGUCACACCACGAGAGUUUGUAACACCCGAAGCCGGUGGAGUAACCUUUUAGGAGCUAGCCGUCGAAGGUGGGACAAAUGAUUGGGGUGAAGUCGUAACAAGGUAGCCGUAUCGGAAGGUGCGGCUGGAUCACCUCCUUU